UGGGGAAUAUUGCACAAUGGAGGGAACUCUGAUGCAGCGACGCCGCGUGAGUGAUGAAGGAAUUCGUUUCGUAAAACUCUGUUCUAUGGGAAGAAAAGGACUGUACCAUAGGAGAAAGCUCCGGCUAAAUACGUGCCAGCAGCCGCGGUAAUACGUAUGGAGCGAGCGUUGUCCGGAAUUAUUGGGCGUAAAGGGUGCGCAGGCGGCUUUACAAGUUGGAUGUGAAAUAUUGUGGCUCAACCACAAACGUGCAUCCAAAACUGCAAAGCUUGAGUUAAGGAGAGGUAAGUGGAAUUCCUGGUGUAGCGGUGGAAUGCGUAGAUAUCAGGAGGAAUACCGGUGGCGAAGGCGACUUACUGGACUUAUACUGACGCUCAGGCACGAAAGCGUGGGGAGCAAACAGG
This 404-nucleotide ribosomal RNA is filed under the name Fusobacteriota bacterium. RNAcentral's name for it is "Fusobacteria bacterium partial 16S ribosomal RNA". It matches the Rfam family "Bacterial small subunit ribosomal RNA", at positions 355 to 776 of the family's 1533-position model. Lineage: Bacteria; Fusobacteriati; Fusobacteriota. The record is from RNAcentral.